RNAcentral lists this transfer RNA (59 nucleotides) under Camelus bactrianus (Bactrian camel). It matches the Rfam family "tRNA", at positions 7 to 64 of the family's 71-position model. Rfam says of the family: Transfer RNA (tRNA) molecules are approximately 80 nucleotides in length. Their secondary structure includes four short double-helical elements and three loops (D, anti-codon, and T loops). RNAcentral also lists the same sequence under 2 other names. Lineage: Eukaryota; Metazoa; Chordata; Mammalia; Artiodactyla; Camelidae. The record is from Rfam by way of RNAcentral.
AUAGCUCAGUGGUAGAGCGUGUGCUUUGCAUGCAAAAAGUCCUGAGUUCAAUCCCCAGU